AGAUAAGUUACAGUUUUUUCUGCUCUGGCGCAUCCUCUGAAGGCUGAGAUGAAAGACAUGAUUCACUAGACUAAGACAUAUCCUGAAUCAAGAUGCCAGCCCCUCCUGCACCCCACGCUCCAGAGGCUGGUCUGCUGAAUGAUGGCUGUAUCUGCCCCGAGGACACUGUGAGCCCCACUCCCAGGUAUAAGCUGCAGAUAUAGCACCUCCUCCUUUACGUACUCCGUCUGUGGAAGGAAAACCAGGGAAGUAGGAGGUCAGAUGGGGUCAUGGUGACUUUCCACCAGGUCCCUGAACAAUAACCCAAGGAUUAAAUGUCUGGGCUCACUGUGAAGUACUCGUACCACAACGCAGAGGUUCCCUAGGCACUGAAACGACCUUAGGAGCCAACAUUUGGAAACAGUUUUCUGCUUGAAUAACUAGUGGGCUUCUCACAUCAUUACUGCACUUCAUGC
This 455-nucleotide long non-coding RNA is filed under the name Gallus gallus (chicken). RNAcentral's name for it is "long non-coding RNA NONGGAT007772". The record is from RNAcentral. Lineage: Eukaryota; Metazoa; Chordata; Aves; Galliformes; Phasianidae.